This 334-nucleotide ribosomal RNA is filed under the name Penthetria funebris. Its description in RNAcentral is "partial 16S ribosomal RNA". The record is from RNAcentral. Lineage: Eukaryota; Metazoa; Arthropoda; Insecta; Diptera; Pleciidae.
UCUUUUAAUUAGAGGCUUGUAUGAAUGGUUAAACAAAAUAUUUUCUGUUUCAUAAAAUAUUAAUUGAAUUUUAUAUUUUAGUAAAAAAGCUAAAAUAAAAUUAUAGGACGAGAAGACCCUAUAGAACUUUAUAUUUUAAAAUAAAAAUAAUAUUUAUUUAAUAAUUUUUAUUUUAAAAUAUUUUAUUGGGGUGAUAAUAAAAUUUUUAAAACUUUUAUAAUUUUAUUACAUUAAUUUAUGAAUAAUUGAUCCAUUAUAAUGAUUAUUAAUUUAAGUUACCUUAGGGAUAACAGCGUUAUAUUUUUUAAAAGUUCAUAUUAAUAAAAAAGAUUGC